This is a non-coding RNA of Yokenella regensburgei ATCC 43003, 77 nucleotides long. The record is from Rfam. NCBI's taxonomy places the organism in Bacteria, Pseudomonadati, Pseudomonadota, Gammaproteobacteria, Enterobacterales, Enterobacteriaceae.
AAUGUUGAGGGCACAAUACGCCGCCUGCAAAAUCAGAGAUAAACCGACGAAAUUAAACGCGUCGGUUAUUUUUUUGC